AGAAACUCAUUGCUGUAAUACUUUUAUUUCCUACAGUUAGAGGAAAAUCCUAUAGUGAAAAGAACAGAGAUCUCGGCAAGUAAUGUCACCAUUUACUUGGACAAGCUCACUCACAAAGAUGAACACUUUGUUUUUGUGCUGAAUCAAGAAACGCAUGUGACAAAUCUGCACCCUGCAAACGUUGCAGUUUAUGAUUAUUAUGUUCCAGAUGUACAUGAUGUAGAAGAAUAUAACUCUCCUUGUAAUGCAAUGACAGGUCACUGCAAAGUCGGUGUCUCCCAGAGGUCAGAUUGUGGGCAUCCAGGUAUUACCAAGGAGGAGUGUGAGCAGAAAGGCUGCUGCUACGAUUCCAGUAUUGCUCAGUCCAAGUGGUGUUUCUUCCAAGGAUUUGAAAAAGAAGAAUCUCACUAAUAAAGAAUCUAUCUGAAGACAUCACACACUGUGUCCUCUGUGACAACGAAUACUUACACUCUACUCACAAGUAGCAGACAGGAAAAUAACUCCAUCAUGGACCCAGGAUAAAGGAUUCUGUUUCCUGUAAUGCAACAUUCAAUAAACAAUACACAGUGUAA
Molecule: long non-coding RNA, 572 nt
Organism: Pseudophryne corroboree (corroboree frog)
Lineage: Eukaryota; Metazoa; Chordata; Amphibia; Anura; Myobatrachidae
Exons: 5
Source: RefSeq, a predicted model, not a curated record